AUCCUGUGGUAAGGGCAUUUACGUAGUAGCUCUUUGAAUCUUUCCCAUGCCUCGUAUAGGGACUCAUCAUCUCUCUGCUGAAAGAUGGUGAUCUCAUUCUUCAACUU
This is a small nucleolar RNA of Gossypium raimondii (Peruvian cotton), 107 nucleotides long. It matches the Rfam family "Plant small nucleolar RNA R71". From Rfam's summary of the family: R71 is a member of the C/D box family of snoRNAs containing the C (UGAUGA) and D (CUGA) box motifs. Multiple nearly identical copies of this snoRNA have been identified in Arabidopsis, and it is thought to function as a 2'-O-ribose methylation guide for 18S ribosomal RNA. The record is from Rfam. NCBI's taxonomy places the organism in Eukaryota, Viridiplantae, Streptophyta, Magnoliopsida, Malvales, Malvaceae.